Molecule: ribosomal RNA, 534 nt
Filed under: Enterococcus faecium
Lineage: Bacteria; Bacillati; Bacillota; Bacilli; Lactobacillales; Enterococcaceae
Description: bacterial SSU rRNA
Rfam family: Bacterial small subunit ribosomal RNA
Source: RNAcentral
CUCUAGAGAUAGAGCUUCCCCUUCGGGGGCAAAGUGACAGGUGGUGCAUGGUUGUCGUCAGCUCGUGUCGUGAGAUGUUGGGUUAAGUCCCGCAACGAGCGCAACCCUUAUUGUUAGUUGCCAUCAUUCAGUUGGGCACUCUAGCAAGACUGCCGGUGACAAACCGGAGGAAGGUGGGGAUGACGUCAAAUCAUCAUGCCCCUUAUGACCUGGGCUACACACGUGCUACAAUGGGAAGUACAACGAGUUGCGAAGUCGCGAGGCUAAGCUAAUCUCUUAAAGCUUCUCUCAGUUCGGAUUGCAGGCUGCAACUCGCCUGCAUGAAGCCGGAAUCGCUAGUAAUCGCGGAUCAGCACGCCGCGGUGAAUACGUUCCCGGGCCUUGUACACACCGCCCGUCACACCACGAGAGUUUGUAACACCCGAAGUCGGUGAGGUAACCUUUUGGAGCCAGCCGCCUAAGGUGGGAUAGAUGAUUGGGGUGAAGUCGUAACAAGGUAGCCGUAUCGGAAGGUGCGGCUGGAUCACCUCCUUU